GACGAACGCUGGCGGCGCGCCUAACACAUGCAAGUCGAGCGAGAACCAGCCCUUCGGGGGCUGGGGACAGCGGCGAACGGGUGAGUAACACGUGGGUGAUCUACCCUCGGUUCUGGGAUAGCCCGGGAAACCCGGAUUAAUACCGGAUGGGCCUUUCGAGUCUUCGGGCCCGAAAGAAAAGGUAGCUUCGGCCUCCGACCGAGGAUGAGCCCGCGGCCGAUUAGCUUGUUGGUGGGGUAAUGGCCCACCAAGGCGACGANCGGUAGCUGGUCUGAGAGGACGAUCAGCCACACUGGGACUGAGACACGGCCCAGACUCCUACGGGAGGCAGCAGUGGGGAAUCUUGCGCAAUGGGCGAAAGCCUGACGCAGCCAUGCCGCGUGAGUGAUGAAGGCC
Molecule: ribosomal RNA, 396 nt
Filed under: uncultured bacterium
Lineage: Bacteria
Description: bacterial SSU rRNA
Rfam family: Bacterial small subunit ribosomal RNA
Source: RNAcentral